AUGCUUUGUAUGUUCCAUUUUGGGGUGCACAGAAGAAAUUCCAAGUAUCUUAUGUUUCUGAAAGUGGAAAUCUCUCUGCUUCCUGCCUUCCAUCUUAUGGUGUCAGUUUGGGUGUGUUACAGAAGCUUAGCAAAGCAUUUAUGUAAGGCCCUCUUAGUGAGGGAUGCUCUCUGGAGUUUCAAAUAUUUUGUAAUUAAUUUUGUUCUUUUAUUCUGUCUUUUUCAGGAAAUAGGGAAUGCUUCCUCUUGUGAUUUGGGGUGCCCAUCAGAAAUAGUGGCACUGUUGACCUUAAAUCUCCCUUUUUUAGAAUCUGGAUACUUUUUUUAUCACAAUGGUCUUGCUAAAGCCAGGAGAAGACGCAGCCUUCAACACAAGCUUCAUCUGGAAAAGGACACCAGGACUUUUUGCACCAGCUUAAUACUGGGCUGAAGUUGGACCAGGUAGCACAAAAAAUGUAUUUACUGCCCAAAGAAGGUAGGUUGGCCUGAGGAAUGGUAUCAUGACAGCAAAUAGGUUAUUUUUUAAUCCUUCAGUAAGAUUUCAAUUCACUGCACUGUAAAGAGAGGGAAGCAAUUUUAUUCCAGACAGAAUGCGAUUGCUGGAUUUGUGUUAUUGGAACACCCAUGACAGUGAAACACUUGAGUAGGAAGAAGAGGAAAAUAGGUUAAAUAAGAUCAUAAUUGCUGUUGUGACACCAGAGCAAACAAGGACUGAUGAAUUCCCAGCUUAAUUUUCCUGCUUCUGCAGAAAUUUCAAGUGAUUCCAGGCCCAGGUUGAGCUAGGAUGCCUGUGGCUGGUCACUUCUGCAGUUGAGAGCCUUGUGAGGGAACCACACAGGUUCCAGGUGCUGCCUGCCCCAUUACUCUGUCCUAAGAUGCUGAUAGCUCUAGGGCACCUCUUUCUGGUCCCCUUCUCUAAAGGGAAACCAGAUACAGGUGAAGGGUUACAAGGCAGAGAUAUCCAACCUGCCUUGAACAGAAAUUCAGAGGCUUCUGCUGUUUUGUUUACUAAGCAGGGAUCAGAGAGUAAAUUUCUGGGGAAAAUCUAAAAUUAGUAGGUACUAAACCAAAUGUCCUGAGAUGUUUUUUCUGUCUGUGAACCACCCAAUCUUGUAAAGUCAUUUAUGAGAAAAUGCAUGAGAAAAUUUAAAAGAAAAAGCACACAAUUAAGUCAGAAUGUUGGAAAGUAGUGGCUGGGUACAGUCAUUCCAUAUGAUCUUUGAAAAUAAAUAUUUCUAUAAGUCUCUGAAAAUUUUACA
This 1258-nucleotide long non-coding RNA is filed under the name Cyanistes caeruleus (blue tit). Its description in RNAcentral is "lncRNA (ENSCCEG00000012204.1)". Lineage: Eukaryota; Metazoa; Chordata; Aves; Passeriformes; Paridae. The record is from RNAcentral.